GGAACAGUGGUAAUUCCUACGAUUAAGAAACCUGUUUGCAAAAGGAUCCGCCUUCCGGGGGGGUCAUCAAAAUUUUAUCAGGUGGGAAAUUCGGUGGAACACAGUGGAGCCUCGUCCUCCGGGCCAAUGUCAUUUUAGGCAUUGUCCCCUGCUCCUGAGAGAAGAACUAUCCUGGGGAACCAGUCUUUACCGACCGUUGUUAUCAGAAAUUUACGGAGUCUGGCUUAGGUCGGACCCCGAUGGGAACGGCAACGGUUGUUCCGUUUGACUUGUCGCCCGCCACGGCGUGCGUGUCAAGGUCUGUUGAGUGCAAUCGUAGGACGUCAUUCGUGGCGAACCCGAUACCGAUUACUGCUGCUGUUCC
This 364-nucleotide RNase P RNA is filed under the name Saccharomyces paradoxus NRRL Y-17217. Its description in RNAcentral is "Nuclear RNase P". It matches the Rfam family "Nuclear RNase P". Rfam says of the family: Ribonuclease P (RNase P) is a ubiquitous endoribonuclease, found in archaea, bacteria and eukarya as well as chloroplasts and mitochondria. Its best characterised activity is the generation of mature 5'-ends of tRNAs by cleaving the 5'-leader elements of precursor-tRNAs. Lineage: Eukaryota; Fungi; Ascomycota; Saccharomycetes; Saccharomycetales; Saccharomycetaceae. The record is from Rfam by way of RNAcentral.